Molecule: long non-coding RNA, 335 nt
Organism: Hippoglossus stenolepis (Pacific halibut)
Lineage: Eukaryota; Metazoa; Chordata; Actinopteri; Pleuronectiformes; Pleuronectidae
Exons: 3
Source: RefSeq, a predicted model, not a curated record
CACCUCCUAUCACAGCCAGAGUGAGGAGGUUAACAAGGACUCUACACAUCUUAAUGGAUCCAUCCAAUCAGCGGCCUCCUCCUCCUCUCCUCCUGCCCUGACAGAAAAGUGGAGCAGAUGCUCUGCGUGCAAAACAAUGCCACCCCCGCGGGCCGGACACUGUCGAACCUGUGGAUCCUGCGUCAAGCGUCUGGACCACCACUGUGUCUGAUAGAAACUCCAGAACCAACCAUGAUAUACUGAUAAACAGCUGUGUCGGACAGGCAAACCACCGCAGUUUCCUGCUGACCCUCUUGGUGUUCGUGCUGACCUCUCUGUAUGGGAUCAGUUUGGUG